AGUGAACGCUGGCGGCAGGCCUAACACAUGCAAGUCGAGCGGCAGCACAGUAAGAGCUUCCUCUUACGGGUGGCGAGUGGCGUACGGGUGAGGAGUACAUCGGAAUCUACUUAUUCUUUGGGGAACACGUGGGGAAACUUACGCUAAUAGUGCUUACGCCCUACGGGUGAAAGCAGUGGAUCUUCGGACCUUGCGCGAGUGAAUGAGCCGAUGUCGGAUUAGCUAGUUGGCGGGGUAAAGGCCCACCAAGGCGACGCUCCGGAGCUGGGCUGAGAGGAUGAUCAGCCACACUGGAACUGAGACACGGUCCAGACUCCUACGGGAGGCAGCAGUGGGGAAUAUUGGACAAUGGGCGGAAGCCUGAUCCAGCCAUGCCGCGUGGGUGAAGAAGGCCUUCGGGUUGUAAAGCCCUUUUGUUGGGAAAGAAAAGCAGCAGGUUAAUACCCCGCUGUUCUGACGGUACCCAAAGAAUAAGCACCGGCUAACUUCGUG
RNAcentral lists this ribosomal RNA (492 nucleotides) under uncultured bacterium. Its description in RNAcentral is "partial 16S ribosomal RNA". It matches the Rfam family "Bacterial small subunit ribosomal RNA", at positions 29 to 507 of the family's 1533-position model. The record is from RNAcentral.